GCCGUGGAAACCAAGGACUUAAACUCCAGAUUCUCCCUGAUCCGUUUACUGGCUUCUCGUAAAUGAAGUUUUCUUCUAGUCCUCUGUUUUAACAAACUACCCUCUCAGAGAUGGCUGAAGAAUCCCUUUUUCAACGAGCCAAGCAGCAGAGAAAUACUGAAACUUACAGGAAGAACUGCAGUCUUGCAACCUACAGGCUAUUAAGGAACGGCACAGGAAAAGCAGAUGCUGCACAACUCUCCUGCCUGA
Pipra filicauda (Wire-tailed manakin) is the source of this 249-nucleotide long non-coding RNA. RefSeq lists it as uncharacterized. The record is from RefSeq and is a predicted model, not a curated record. NCBI's taxonomy places the organism in Eukaryota, Metazoa, Chordata, Aves, Passeriformes, Pipridae. The transcript is spliced from 3 exons.